AAAAUGCGAUACGUCGUGUGAAUUGCAGGGUUCAGCGAAUCACGAAAUCCUCGAACGCACCUUGCGCCUCUGAGCUCUCUUGGAGGCGUGCUUGUUUGAGCGUCGUUUAAUAGUAAUCAACACUAUUCUUUCAUUUUCUGAAAUAUUGAAGAUGAGCAUGGAUGCGUGUUGGAACUGGAUGUUUGGGGGAAAAAGGGGAAACCUUUUUUUUUUUUCUAAUCAUUCGAAAUUCAGCAAAAAGGUCGAAAUGGUUUUCACGUUAAAACCUCCUCACCUAAACAGUCUCAGCGUUGUUUAAGGUCCUUAACUGGCCAUUUAUUUCGUUGGGACUCGAGGACGGUUCAGUGUUUAUCAAUUUUCGAGUUUAAUCCUUUUGAAUCGGGCGUCAGGGCCCGAUGCUGGUGUUGACGGCAGCAACAAAGAAUCCUCGUCAAUAAGUUUUUUUAAACUCGCGACCUCAAAUCAAGCAAGGCUACCCGCUGAAUUUAAGC
This 491-nucleotide unclassified non-coding RNA is filed under the name plant metagenome. RNAcentral's name for it is "partial contains internal transcribed spacer 2 and large subunit ribosomal RNA". The stretch from base 1 to 105 matches the Rfam family "5.8S ribosomal RNA", at positions 50 to 154 of the family's 154-position model. The record is from RNAcentral.